UAAGCUAUGAUCCGGAGAUUUCCGAAUGGGGCAACCCAGCAGUUUUAAUCAACUGUUACCACUAGAUGAAUUCAUAGUCUAGUUGGAGGUAAACGCUGUGAACUGAAACAUCUCAUUAGCAGCAGGAAUAUAAAGAAAUUUCGAUUCCCUAAGUAGCGGCGAGCGAACGGGGAACAGCCCAAACCAAAGUGCUUGCACUUUGGGGUUGUAGGACUGAACAUUUGAGU
RNAcentral lists this ribosomal RNA (227 nucleotides) under Lactiplantibacillus plantarum. RNAcentral describes it as "partial 23S ribosomal RNA". It matches the Rfam family "Bacterial large subunit ribosomal RNA", at positions 93 to 319 of the family's 2925-position model. Lineage: Bacteria; Bacillati; Bacillota; Bacilli; Lactobacillales; Lactobacillaceae. The record is from RNAcentral.